Molecule: ribosomal RNA, 253 nt
Filed under: uncultured bacterium
Lineage: Bacteria
Description: partial 16S ribosomal RNA
Rfam family: Bacterial small subunit ribosomal RNA
Source: RNAcentral
UACGAAGGGUGCAAGCGUUACUCGGAAUUACUGGGCGUAAAGCGUGCGUAGGUGGUGAGUUAAGUCUGAUGUGAAAUCCCCGGGCUCAACCUGGGAAUGGCAUUGGAUACUGGCUCGCUAGAGUGCGGUAGAGGGUGGUGGAAUUCCCGGUGUAGCAGUGAAAUGCGUAGAGAUCGGGAGGAACAUCUGUGGAGAAGGCGGCCACCUGGACCAACACUGACACUGAGGCACGAAAGCGUGGGGAGCAAACAGG